RNAcentral lists this long non-coding RNA (1276 nucleotides) under Nicotiana benthamiana. Its description in RNAcentral is "long non-coding RNA (NBEN_LNC008867)". Lineage: Eukaryota; Viridiplantae; Streptophyta; Magnoliopsida; Solanales; Solanaceae. The record is from RNAcentral.
UGCUGGUAGAAACUCUUCAAAGCAUCUACUUUGUAACCUGGACUAUGUCUAUUGAGGCAUGAGAGUGCAGUUUCCUUCUUCUUCCUUUCUUAAAUAAGACUAAACUUCUUGGAAACAAAGAAACAAGUGCCCCCCAUCCCCGCCCUACCCCCGAUAGUAUGAAGUGAUUUUGUUAUUAACCUCUUAUUUAAUUUGAUUUUCUCUUAUUUGGUUUGGGAUGUGUCCAGUCUAUCCCUUGUAACUUAUAUCUAGUCAACUAUUGCAGAUUGGAUCUUGCUGUCUUGAAUUCUUGGUAUUCUCAUCUGCUUGGGGUUUUCCCAAUCUUUGGAUCUGAUAGGUGAAUAGUGGAUACUUGGUGGAGAUGUAGGACUAGCUAUUUGCUUUCAUAACUCUGGCUUGAGCUAGGAUAAAUGAAGAAAGAUCAGUGUUUUUAAAGGCAGAAAGCGCAAAAAAGCAGCAAGGUCCAUGUGACUUAAAGAGAAGAGCAUGAAAUGAAGCACAUGCUUAAUACAUAUAAGUUCAGUACUAUAAUUAUCUGAGAAAUUAAAAGUUGCAGAGAUGCCAAGUGAAGUGUACCCAUAAAUCUAUGGGCUCGUGACAGGAUUCAGUGGCCAACAGGCAUAUUUCUGCAGAGGUGUUGAAAUAGUGAAGAGGGGAGAGAAGCGGAGAAGAUGUUGUCCUUUUAAUUGCAUGUCUUCGAUCUAGCUCAAUUUUUUAUCUGGGCAAAGGAAGGGGGAAGCAGAGUUUGACUUUUCUAAUAGAUUAAAACAUUAUUGAUGUCUUAGUUAAUCUGUGGUGCCAAAUUCGUAUUUCUGUUUGUGUCAGAAGUUCAUUUCAGCUAUGCUGAGGAGUACUACCCUUUUUAAUAUUACCUUAUUCCUGUGUUUAAUUUUAGAUACCUUCAUGAGUAAAAAUACUCUCGCUGAACAGAAUAAUAGCCUCCUGCAGUCUGAAUCCAGCUCAUAUCCAUAUUUAAAAAGAAGUCAAAAUUAAUUAUUAGUUUUGCACUAUAUGUUUGGGAUAUCCGUUGUCAGUGCUCUUACUGCGGUUGCUUAUCCUUCUUAACUUUUUUUCAACAGUGAGCUCUAUAUGCACUGCACCAAUGAAGACAGGAACAUCAACUCUGAAUCCUUAUGCAGAAUCAUAUGUCCUUACCUUUUUUUCAACAGUGAGCUCUAUAUGCACUGCACCAAUGAAGACAGGAACAUCAACUCUGAAUCCUUAUGCAGAAUCAUAUGUGCCUAUUUUGAGAAGAGGGGCACCUGAUGGAAACAAA